GGAUGUGAGGGCAAUUUGGCUGUGAUAUCUGUCACCCCACUGAUCGCCACAGUUGAUGCAGCUGAUCUGGCUGGCUCCUCCCUCACUGCUCCACGUGAAUCCCUGUGGAAGAGGACAACCACACCGAUAGAGGAGGACUGUUUCCUUGGUCAAGGGUAUACAACUACCUGUGCUUCCCUGCUGGAACCUCCAAACAAGCUCUCAAAUAAUUGUGCACACAGAAUUAGUGCAAAAGAAGUAAGCACAUAUUGAACUCUGGUUGAUGUAAUGAAUUUUGGGGAGUAA
This 285-nucleotide small nuclear RNA is filed under the name Heterocephalus glaber (naked mole-rat). RNAcentral describes it as "7SK RNA". It matches the Rfam family "7SK RNA", at positions 1 to 258 of the family's 331-position model. Rfam says of the family: 7SK was discovered as an abundant small nuclear RNA in the mid-70s but a possible function has only recently been suggested. Lineage: Eukaryota; Metazoa; Chordata; Mammalia; Rodentia; Bathyergidae. The record is from Rfam by way of RNAcentral.